Long non-coding RNA from Apodemus sylvaticus (European woodmouse), 1417 nucleotides. RefSeq lists it as uncharacterized. The record is from RefSeq and is a predicted model, not a curated record. The transcript has 3 exons. Lineage: Eukaryota; Metazoa; Chordata; Mammalia; Rodentia; Muridae.
CUCUUCAGUUUCUGGUCCCUCUGAGUCUCGUCCCAUUUCUCCUUUGCCAAACGAAUGUCCUUGAUUCUUCACACUGGCUGCCCCUUCUCACGUUCCUCUGAUGCAGAGCUGGCUCUGGCUCUGUCUGGUCUUUCGGUUUCAUGGUUGGCACCAACGACCCUCACUAGGAAUGCUGUCUUUAUGUCACAUGGGCAUAGUGGACUCUACAAUGACUCUUGUCCAGGAGAGGAAAAUGGGCAGAGUCCAUCCAUGAAAUUAAGAUGGCAAUAGAAUCCCUGGCUAAGACAGCAUCAGAACCACCCAGUGACCUGUGGAGAGGCAGCUUACUUCAGGAGUGGCAGUGGGGACACUCUUUGUGGCAGUUAUGUGGAUAGUUCCUGUUUGCUGGACACUGAACCUGUGCGCAACUGCAGAUGAAGCAACAGAAAAGUGGGAGAAGAUGCUAAAGCCAGGUGAGCCAUCUGUUCUUCUCGGUCUUGAAAGUCUCUGAUAAAAGCUAUUUUGGAAUGAGGGAGAAGAUGAUGGUUCUCGAUUGUUAUGGAAACCAGCAAACAGAUUUGGCCACGGCCGGAAGCCACACCCCUAAAGACCACAAUAGCUUUUGUUAUGAAACUUGGGGACUUUACUUCGUUUCCCCUAUUAUCUAUUUUCAAAGUUGUCAACAGUAACAAAUUUCUUAGUACCUGUGGCCAUUUCUGUCCAAGUUCUGGGACAACCCUGGGCCCCACCACUUGAACCUGCACUGUGGUGUGUAGUUAUAAGCUCUCUCUGAGCCUACACACCUCUAUAGGAAUCCCAAGGCAUGGGGCAAUGACUGCAUUCCAUUGUGUGACUUCCAUCGUUGCUCCAUUUAUAGGGGGAUAAAAAUAUCCAACAUGUUUAUUUCAAAGAGAAUACAAUCAUUUACCUUUGCAACCUGUACAUGGAAUAUUUGCUGUGGAGGACAAAUAUGUUUCCUUUUAAGUGUCAAUUCCAACUGAACGAUGUUGGCCUUGCCUCUGUCAAGAAGGGUCUGAGACUGGGUUCCAACUCAGUGGUUAGGAAUGAGGCAGAAGUGGCUUCAAAGUUCUGUGUAUUUGCUUCCUUGGUUUGGGACAUUACCUCAUCAAGCUCUGUAAUGGCUUUUGGAGGUUUAGACGUCCAAAAUUAGCUUAUUGGAUGUUACUUUACUGGUACUGAUUCAUGGAAGACAAACUUCUUAUGUUCAAGGCUAAAAAUUAUACCUUGAUUCUUUUAAAACAUCUCUCUCUCUCUUUCUCUCACUCUGCCUCUCUCUCUCUCUCUCUCUCUCUCUCCCUCUUACUGACAGAAAUGAGGUGUGUUCAUCGUUAAACGUUUGGCAAAUCUUAGGGAAGUAUCUACAAUAAGAUAAGAGCAGUCCCCCAUCUCAUCACGCCUACAUAAAUUAACAUGGUGG